Dermochelys coriacea (leatherback sea turtle) is the source of this 627-nucleotide long non-coding RNA. RefSeq lists it as uncharacterized. NCBI's taxonomy places the organism in Eukaryota, Metazoa, Chordata, Testudines, Dermochelyidae. The record is from RefSeq and is a predicted model, not a curated record. The transcript has 3 exons.
AGUUAUCAGCCCUAUGUGAAUCAUCAGCACAUCAUGGCAGAGUUAAGCGUGUCAGCUGGCUCUUCAGGAUGAGCGUGCCUGGACUGUGAAGGGGAAAAAAGAGUGAGACAGACAAUAUCUGGAGAAUGUGAUGCACCAGCCAUAUGAAAAGUGAGAGAUUUUAUUUAUCCAGAAGCAUCAUGGUGGAGCAGGAGAUGAUAUCAAGAUGUGUUUGUCCUCAAGAAAAGUGUAAGUGACCACAUUUGAUUUUUGUGUAAGAAACAAACAUGACAUGGAUAGAUGAAAUGAAAAAAAAACAACUUAACAAUUUAGACAUGGGGGAGAAAAAGGGGAAAUCUUAAAAAUGAGUAAAGAAGGAAACAAUUAACUUUAUAUUUCUAGGCUUGCAAUAUGAUCAGAGUUUUUACUUCACAAAAGAGAAGGACUCUUGUGUGAAGUAUCUUGAAAGGUUGUUUUUUUUAUUGUGGGACUUCCUGCUUGCAUUAGCAAAGAACUGUAAUGUAGUGGCUGCUUCAGUGGAGGGGACUUGAACAAUGAGUUUGAAUAACUUGAGUGACAGACUGAAGUGCUGUGGGAAGCACUUUGUAGCAACAGUGUGUUUUUAAUCAUGCAAUGUCUUUUUUUUUU